CUCCGGGACGCGGGCGGCGGUCCCGGGACCCCCGCGCUGUCUGGCCCUGCCGCCCCUCCGCGGCUGCCGGGGGGCACCUGCCCGCACCCCGGUGCCUCCAGUUCUGAGUCCUUUCCUCAGCCGUCCCUGGCAGUAUUGCGUCCCUGGCCGGCCGGACCCCGCCAGCCUCUCCGUGUUCCUGGUCGCCAGGAUCUGCCCUUAAACCUUUGCCCUCUCAGAGGCUCAUUCCCUUCAGGGCUGGGCUUUCCGCAGCCCUUCCAGCACAGCCUCCUUUCCGCGUGUGUGUCCCCCCCUGUCCCGGGGCUCCUUCCAGGUGUACGGGGGUUCGGUGUCUUUAUCUCGGCCGGGUACAGCCGGACAUUGAAGGAAUGUGUCCUAGCGAUAAAGCGUCACUACAACCAGAGGUUUGUCUCGAACUGUGUUCCCUCUUGUAAACACGGCAGAAUGGCAACGUUGGUGCCACCGCUCUAUUUUGGAAACACGGACAAGUUCUGGCUGUUAACUCUUCCGCUCCCACGCCGGUUUUCUUUGACCUUGUGUGCCAGUGCUGUCGAGAUGAAAGCAGACAAAGGUGUUUGAGGGUGGCUUUCUCUAAUUUGCUCUUAAUAUUCGAGAAUUCAGCUUGUUUUAAUUGCUGUAAUUUGUGAUGUUAAAUUGUCAGAAAACCUUCUGAUCUGUGUGUGAUGCAGAGAAAGGGGCAGGUGUAGCGUUUGGGAUACCUGUGUUGUGGCAGCCUUUACCCUUGAUGCUUCAGGAAAUAUCGCCAGCAAAACUUACCUUUAUAGCUUAGUUAGGCUUGAAGAAGUCAGAAACCAGCCUAUUUUAGACUGUCUUUUCCUAAUAUAUUGCUUUUUGUCGUGAGUUUCUCAUUGUUUUGCUUGGUCUCUGCUACCCUGCCUGUUAACCUUUUCGAAGAGAAGGGGACAGAAAUCUGGACUGGUAUUUGAAAGAAGGCAUUCUGUGCUGAGGGAGUGACAGUAGAUCCAGCAGUUGCUUGUAUUUACCUGAGAAAAGGCACAGGCAUUUAAGAAUGAAACAUGAAUCACAGGCCAUCUUUGGUUCUGAGGAUUUUAAUGCUUAAAAAUGUAUUGUUUGAAAAAAAAUAAAUUCUUUUCUGCUUUUUUGAAGUGAAAGUCCAUAGCAGUUGCAAUUUAAUUACAAUUACCUUGCUAUUCAUUACAGCUGUUUAAAUGUGGACUGUGUCUAGUGUGCAUUCUUAGUUGUGAUUUAGCUGACAUUUAGUGACUGCACUGAAUGCAUUCACCUCCAAAUGAUCUUUGAAGUAAUAUGUAGCAUUCAGACCCAAAGUGAGUUUUCUUGUCUGUAAAACAACAACAGUAAAUGUGAGAGAUAAUUUUGGAGUGGAAAAUAACUGAGACUUCUGAGUGCUAACUUUGAAAGCUUCUUACAGAUUAAAGUUAUUUUGGGGCUUAAGAGAGAUUGAGAGAAGAUUAUUUAUAUGAAUUUAUUAGUUAAGCAGCAUCACCUCUUUUUCUUCUCUCAAUUUUCUCUCCCUUCUUAAAGUUCUGUUUCUUCUGUUGUGAAACAGACCUGAAACAUGAGUAAUCUUUUUUCUUUGUUUUUAAGUUUCAGAAUGGUUUGGAGAAAACUACACAUAAUGUAAUAGGAAGAAAGGCAGUAAAGUAGCAUGGUGUUUCUCUUGAGGAUAUUAAAUUUAUAAUUUUUUUAGGAGAGCUUGUCAUAGACUGCUUGAAAAAUGUUUCAUGAGAGAUUUACAAAGUAACUUUAUGCUAUUUUACAACAUGUGAAAGAGAUAAGAUGUUUGUCAGCAGCAUUAUCAGUAUCAGUCAAUGAUAGCAGCUAAAUAAACAUCUUUUGUGAGUUUAAGCUGUUUAAACAAAGUGAUAAAUAUAUUCAGCCAUAGUGAAGUACUUUUCAAGCAAUAAAACCAAUUUGGUUUCUUCUUAAAAGCAAGGAAAAGAGUCUGCAGGAUGAGAGUAGAAGAAAAACCCUUUGCACAUGGUAACAAUGACACUUCUGGGAGUUUACUUUUAAGCUUUUCUGUUUGGGUUUCCAGUCAUGUUCAUGUAAUGGUCUAGCUUUUGUCAUUCUGCUGUACUUACAUGUAAUUGCAGGAACUUCUUUGUCCCCUCACAACUGAGGAAAGUGGAGAUGUGUGCAUAACCGAGAGGACUGCUGGCCACAGUUCCUUACUGUAACUGUACUUUGCCCAGCUGCAGAAGCAUUUUGAAUCCUCCUGUUCAGGAACCAAUAAUUCCUGCCUUCCACCCACCUGCCCAAGCUAUUCUCAACUCUGCUGCUGGGAGAGGCCAAGUGUUUCGGUCAGGCACAGAACUCCUGUCAUGAUUGCAUUUACACCAUUGGUUCUCAAGCUGGAGCUCGGACUCAAAUGGUGCUGUUGCUCUGCAAGAAAAGGCUUAUGCUCUUCAGGUGGAUUGUUCCAGUUUGAUUGUGUGAAACCUUGUUUCUAAUCAGGGCCUGAAAGUUAGGUGACUUACCUUUCUUUACCUGAAAUGUGCAGGUCUCAGGUUCUGAAUUUGUGAGCCCACGAUGCGGAAGCUGGAGCUUUCAAGAGGAGUGUUGCUAUCAGCCUGUAUAAAAUCUUCAUGUUCUCAGUUUUCUAUUCUUUAUAGGUCUAUUUUUCUUUCAGUGGUAGCCUUUAGACAUAUUUUUUCUUUCUGAGUAUUAACUGGGUACCUAGUAAUCUUUUUGAAGUUUAUUACUAAGGAAAAGAAAGAUCAGGUGAAAGGUUAAGGUGAUCUUGAAACAGAAAAGGACAUGGUAAGACAGGUCUGCAGUCUGCUUCUGAUUUAUUCAUUAAUUCAUCAAAUAAAUAGCCACUUGCAGUGAAAUAUCCAUUGGGAAUAUAAAAUUUGUGACUGGAAGCAUGUUAAUUUUCAGAAAAAUAAAAUAGGCUCUUUGAUCCCUUCAGUUUCAUGUGAUUGGGAUGGAGCUUUUGCCUGAGCAAGGCAUUCAUAACUUACUACCCUUUUUAGCUUUGCCUCAUUCAGUGGAAAAAGUGAAGGAAAGCUCAGUGCUGAGCAAGCUGAAGAGAUGGACUGAGACACAGAAGUGUGGGUUGUGUUAAUUUUUAACAUGCUUUUGGUUAGUAUCCAUGCUUAGUGCCUUCCCAGUCCCCAGUGCUAGCUAACUUUUAAUUAUGUAUUAAUAAUCACUAAUCUUGCUUAACAGUUAGAAUGCUCAGAUAUCCAGAUUUUUAUUUUAUUCACUGCUGGCUUCAUAAACACUUGAAUGUAUUAACACUUGUUGCUCUGAAUAUUCCUCUUGUACUUUUCUGACACCCUGAGGUUUUUGCUCUGUCAGUGUUGCUGUUUUCAUCUAUUUGUAAAGGAGAUAGAUGGAGCAAGUUUGUUCUUUAUAAGGAUUCGUCACCUGUAAAGUUUUUUCUUUUACUUUGGCUUAUCAGAGCCUGAAUUAAAUGAUCUGUGGAUCACUCUGAUUAAUUUCUCUUAAUAAAGCUUGUAUCUACAAUUGUAUGUGCCUUGUAUAUGUACAUGUGUAUUUCUGACUGCUGUAAGUAUAUCGUUUCAGAGACUAGAUAAGAAAUGUGUUGACCAAUAUAUAAAAAUGUUCUUAAAAUGGUAAUGUAUUUGGCCUAAUCUUUAACCUGGCUUGCUAACUUCUGUGAAAGUGGUGAGCUGCAUAUUUUCACCAGGUUUUACCUCAACACCCUUUACUGUCUGUUCAGAUUAAAACUUCCUGGGCGAUCCGGCAUGUGAAGGGCACUUUAUAAAGAAAA
This is a long non-coding RNA of Haemorhous mexicanus (house finch), 3742 nucleotides long. RefSeq lists it as uncharacterized. The record is from RefSeq and is a predicted model, not a curated record. The transcript has 2 exons. NCBI's taxonomy places the organism in Eukaryota, Metazoa, Chordata, Aves, Passeriformes, Fringillidae.